Molecule: long non-coding RNA, 3311 nt
Filed under: Gallus gallus (chicken)
Lineage: Eukaryota; Metazoa; Chordata; Aves; Galliformes; Phasianidae
Description: lncRNA (ENSGALG00010019897.1)
Source: RNAcentral
ACAGAAGAUUUUCUGAUGUCGGUUUAUCCUAAAUUUGCUCAAAUCCUGGGUAUAAUUCUGUGUUGGGGUGGGGGGGCGUGUAAUUCUAGUCGUUGAACUACUUUUCUGUAAUUGCAUUUGCCCACAGCUAGCUGUCUAAUCUGCCUCUCCCCAAAUCCCUACCAAUCCUGUUGGAAUCCACUUAUAGCUGCAUAUGCAGGAAGGGACCAAAUCUGCAGGACCAGGGAUGGGGCAGGGCCCAGGGAUGCUUGUGUCCCAGCUGUCCCACUCCACUGCAACAGAGCCAAUGUGGCAUCAGCAGGAACCAUCUGCUUGCUGCAACACCAGCAUCAUACCUACAAGGCACUCGUGUUACAUCUUGCCCCUCUUUUUUCAGCACAGGGAGCUGAAUCAUAACCUUUGUCCAUUGCGGGAACUUCCUCUCCUCCUCUCACCAUCUUCUUGUAUUCUGUUGGAGUGUGUCCAGAGGAGGGCCACAAAAACGGUCCAAGGGAUGGGAACACCUCCCUGUGAGGAUAGGCUGAGUGAGCUGGGGCUGUUCAACCUGGGGAAGGGUAUGGGGAAGCCUGAGAGCGGCCUGUCAGUACCUUGUGUGGGGCUAGAGGAAAGAAGAGGGCAGGCUCUUCAGCAGGGCCUGUUAUGAUAGGAAAAGGGGAAAUGGUUUCAAAGUAAAAGAGGGAACAUCUAGGUUGGGUAUAAGGAAGAAGAUUUUUACACUAGGACUGGUGAGUCACUGGCACAGGAUGCCCAGAGAGGUGGUGGAUGUCCCAUCCUUGGAGGCAUUCAACGUCAGGCUGGACGGGGCUUGGAGCACCUGAUUGAGCUGUAGGUGUCCCUGCUUACUGCAAGGCAGUUGGAUUAGAUGGCCUUAAGGGUCUCUUCCAACUCAAACCAUUCUAUGAAAUAGAUAACACACCUAAGAGAGUUCUUACACUGGAGGUGUUGAAGAACUAUGGAGAUGUGGCACCGAGGAAUGUGGUUAGUGGGCGUGGUAGGGAUGGAUUGGUGGUUGGGCGUGAUGAUCUUAGUAGGCCUUUCCAACCUUAAUGAUUCUGUGGUUCUAUGUAAAACUGGCCAAUGAGUGGGCUCUGCAAACAAGAGCUGUGCUUCAUAGGGAGCUCACUCUCACAGCUCCUCCAUGUUGCCCCUUUCUCAGUGCAGGAAGCCAUCAGCAGCACUUGCAGGCUGCCAGCUCUUCCUGCUUUGUUUCAAGCACAACUUAAAGGCUCUCCAAAUGAAGUAAUCUUCAUUUUUGACAGCCACAACCCAGCAGGAAAGGACACAACAGCUCUCCUUGAAUUGCACAGCUGCCGUUUUGCAUUUUUGAGUUUGGUACCCGGGGAAUUAGAAAUGUCAGUAGUUCCAUUUAGUUUUCCUAUGGUAAUAUUAAAGUCUUCCAGCUGUGGGGGUAAUUUCAAGUCAAAAACAAACAAACAAAAGAGUUGAAUCACAGUUUCGUGAUCCUGUGAUCCCCCUAUAGGAAAAACCAAACCUUGCCUACACUGAAACAUUCAAGGUGUUUCAAGGAUAGUGUCAGAAAAACUUCCAUUGCGGGAUCAGACAUCUCCCAGGGCAGGGGAGGAAGAGGUGUUCCAGCUGACCCAAAGCUGAGGUCUGCUCAAUAUACAUCAUUUUCGUGUUCCUACUUCAGUCUGUUUUCCUUUUCAGCACCGCCCUUUUGAUGCUUUUCCCUUAUAACUGCUUUGGACCAUGGAAAACCAGACACAGGCGGAGGCUUCUCGCUGCCCCUUCCUGCUUGGACAUUCAGAUGAGAGUCAGGUUGGAGGUGUGAGUGGGGUUUGAUGCAGGGGUAGAAGAUGACUGCUGGGACAGAAAUUGCAAAGAGAUGUGAAAUCUGGAGCUCUGAAGGCUCUGCCUGCUAUUAUCAAGGUGAACCCAGGGCUGUGAGCCUGCAGCACGGUGGGCAACAGCAAGGACAAAUAUAGUGCUACAUGUUAUGCAGAGGCAGUUUUCAAGCACGGUUGGAAUGAGCGACUUUGGAGGCAAAUCGCUACCGCUCGUCUUUGCCUUUAGUUUUGGGCUUUUAUUUCCUUAUUUCCUCUUGUGGAGAUGACACAUCUCUGACAGCUGUUGCAUCUCGGAGCCAUAACAGCCCACAUAGCAACUGCCCUGACACUGGCCCUGUCCUCAGAGCUGUGACAGGCAGCCAGCAGAGCACCACUGCGCUGCAAAGGGCUGGAGCCCAGCAUGAUGCCCAUCCUGAAGCCUGUAUGAGGUGAAAUCCUCUUGGGAGCACCUGGUACAUGAUACCUUGGCUGUGGUGGAGCUCAGUGUAGAGCCAGGAGCCCAGCAAAGGGCCAUGGGCUUACCUGGACCAAGAGAAGAGGUAGGACCCUGGGCAGGGUUCUACCAGCAAGUGCUGCCCGUUGUGGGGCAAUGAGAAUAGCCAUGGCUCUUCCAAACAUGACCAGUGGGGAAAGAUAGGUUGAGCUGGGAUUAAAAAAGAUGCCAACUGUUUGAAGAAAGGUGGAAACUGAAUACUAGAAAGACCUUUCCUGCGGUAAGCAAAGGCCAUACUAGACUGCCUGGAGAUCUCUCUAGCACAUCUGUCUAGGAGUUGGUCAGACAAUACCUGUCCACAAAGACAUAUAACACAGGCAAUUGUCUCUCUUGGCAGACUGACUGCUCGGUCUUACAUCAAGCCUGGAUGCUUUUCUUCCCAUCUAAUUUAUGCAUUGAGAAGUGCAAUGAAAGCCCCAGUAUGAAAGUCAUAGAACAUUUUUGCCUGCAGUCAAAAAGGCUGCAAGGAUAUGGAGUUGCUCAGAAAAAAAAAAUCAUUUUCCUUUGUUUCCUGGACAAGCACGGUGCCAAAUGCAUGGGAGAGCAUUCUUCUCCACCACACCACUCGUGUCUGACUUCCAGAAAAUCAAUCAAAUGAGACAAAACUGAAGCAAGCAGAUCAAUCUAUAACAGAGUGGUUGUCUCAGUCUUUGAUGAAAUAAAAAAUAAAAAAUGCAGCCAUUGCCUUCCCUGAAAAGUAACAGCAAGCAUCAUCCACCUGCACUGCUGUUUUCAUUCCUGGUGGAGAAGCAGACCCAGUGCUCCCAGUUUUCCUUUGAAUGGGCUGCAAAGCAAAGCAAUCAGGCACACAAGAAUAAGCGGUUCAUCCAAGCACAAUAGCCGGCAGAAGAGCUGUUGUAAGCAAGGUCAGCGCUCCCACUUCUGUGGGGCUUUGAUUGUUCAGCUCAUCUGACAGCAGUGCCAAGGCUGUGAGCAGGACAAUGUGCCACGCAUCCACGUGCCCCGCUGUUCAGAGCUGAGAUUUAGUUCCCAGGAAUAAGUGUGAAAAC